AGACAGUCGCAUCAUGUCUGCCCGCCGGUUCGGUGUAUGACGUUCGGUGCUAUUGAUAACCUAUAACAGUUGUUAGUUCCUCCGUCCACUUGGAUUUGGAUGAUUUUUAAUUGAUUUCACACGACGAUUUAGUUUCUGUGUCAAAUUGCAGUGGUAGUUGUGAAUUAUCAGAGUUUACAAAUUCGAGAUACGCAGUGCCGUAUCUUUCGUGAGUUUUGUACAGCGUUUAUCGAUUUUCAUUUUAUAAUGAGCGUAACGUUUUGUUUACUUUUUAUUCGUGUAUAACGUUGUCUCUGAUGUUUUUAUAAUGUGCAGUAUUCGGCUCUAGUGUUGUGGUGGGAUUGAUUCAAUUAUGUGCGAGAGUUCGGGCGAGAUUGCGUGUUUUGGAUGACAAAAACAUGGAAUUCGAGAACGAUUUCAGCUUGAAAGAAUGGGCGAAGGACAAGCCUUUGUCCAUAUUGCAGCUGGACCCGGCAGACCGUGCCGUUUUGAGGAUAGCAGGUAAAACAUGGCGAUAAAAGAUAGUCAUCACUUCGUGUUGAAGCAGUAUGAGGGGAGAAUAGAAUAAAAGGC
This 573-nucleotide unclassified non-coding RNA is filed under the name Melitaea cinxia (Glanville fritillary). RNAcentral's name for it is "misc RNA ENSMCXG00005009104.1". Lineage: Eukaryota; Metazoa; Arthropoda; Insecta; Lepidoptera; Nymphalidae. The record is from RNAcentral.